AUGUCAUCAAUACGUCAGAUUACUGCUUUACUCGUGCUCGGUUGCCUCGCCAUCACCUGCACAGCGAUGGCAACGGGCACCGAAACCAGCGAUGGCGCCCCCCGAAAAGAAGAAAUCCCUCUGAAAGAAGGAAUCCCCCGCAAAGAAGAGAGCCCCCAGAAAUCCCCGCAUGAUUUGAACAGUUUCUUCGGAGCGAGUCACCACCCCCUUUCAUUCUCUUACUUCGACGCGACCGCUCAAUCCACACCGACCGCGCCGAAGCCAGAAGCACAAACCAGAGCAGUGGCCGCACCCUCAGCGACGGAAUCUUCGUCCAACAGCCCAGCCGUCAACGCCAUCCCGUCCCUGGACAAGAUCCCGUCUGGCAACGAGAGCCCCUUCAGAGUGAUGUCCGGCACCACGAUGGACACGAUCCAGCAGGCCAUCCGCGACUUGAAGCUGACCAUCGCCGAGAUGGACGAGAAGUUGGACCGCGUCGUCCAAAAGGUGGCGCCCGAAGGGAAAGUGUCCAUGAUGCGCCAAGGGACCGAGAUAUUCAGGAAGCUCUUCCGGGUCCCACCGUCGAAAACUCCCGACCCCUUGAAAACGGCAACUGAGAGAGGCUAUGGAUACGGUGGUGGGAGUGACGGGUACCAGAGGGGUAUCGGUCUCAGUUGGUGAGGUCUUGCUGAAGAAGAAGCGGAAAGAGUGACCUAGAAUAAAGAUGGGUACUCGCAUAUCGGUCCUGCGCAAAGUAGCUAGAGAAUGGACAAUUCACCAGAUGCAUAGAUUUAGAAGAAGCCGAUAGCCUGUGUUACACUAUCAAAAUAAUCCAUCGAAAUGUCAUGGUCAAGUGCUGUGAUUGGUCCAAGUCAUCGAAUUAGCCAAUCAGAACCCCUGACCUUGAUAUUUUUUGAUGGCUAGCUUUAAUAGUGUGAUAGAGGCUAAUUCAAGGGCGAAGUUCCGCGAAAGGACUUAGCUCACUUUUGAACCCGAAUUAACAGAAGUGACUAAUGAAAAAAAACAAAAAAAAUCAAUAGAGGUAAAAUAUAAACUCUACAAUUUGAUGACUACCUCGGGGGUAUGUAGUCGUUAUUGCUGCCAACAUGGAAAUUGAAUUUUGCAGGCACUUGGCCGCUCAGAGAGAGGGAGAGAGAGAGAGAGAUCUGUUUUUUUGUCAUGGGGGUUGGCAGUGAGUCAAAAACUGAACCAAAACUUCUCGCGGAAAUCUGCCGAACCGGAUUGUCCAUUCCAAAGCGCGCAAAAGUACGUCCGCUUGGGAGUUUUCAUUGAAGUUUUUCUGAUUGAAGAAACUUGAUUUAUCCAAAGUUUGAGGCACCUAAAUGAUUAUAAAAUUAAUGAAAUUCCAAAAACUGACAGUAAUUUAAGGGGUAUCCAACUGGAAAGAGCACCAAUACUCAUUUGACCUGCUCGUGAUUUUGAACGAUCAAAAUAAGCGGACAGUCCAUUUUCGACAGUGCGAUUACCCAUGUUUGCUAUAGGUUGCGCUAGUAUCGAGUAGAUAGGGUUGAUAAUCGGUGAUGCCAUUUCAGCUGAAUCUAAUGAAAAGGAAGGAAGGGGGGGGGGGGGGGGUUAAACAUUUCUACACAUACACUAGAGUUGACCUACAUGGUUUGAAAAUCAGGAAAAUUGUUAAGUGGCAUCUCACCAUACCUGCUUCUGCAAAUAAAUUGUAUCAAUCGAUUCUAUAAUAGUGCUGAUUUAUAUCGACGGUGUAAGUCGGCAAUCACAUAACUCAGUUUGUGACGUCGCAGAUUUCCUGUCAUACUUUAUUUUUUAAACGGAAAACUACUGAACGGCAAUUCUUUAAAACUGCCGUGAUUUUUCUUCUUUGUGCGAAGAAAAUUCUGCAAAAUCUUCAAGGAAUGAUGUCAAUUUGUGCUCCUUUAAAAGAAAUAACAUAGAGGCGGAGAUUUUCAGACACCGCAAACUAGUUAUGUGAUUGCCGACUUACACCGUCUAUAUGCCAUAUCAGUGCCUCAGAACCAAAAGGUACCUUACUCACAUUUUUUGAAAAUUAAGUUUUUGGCGUUUUCGAAAUUCCCAUCAACGGUUCCGUGUUUGUAGAAAAUUUGAUAGCCCUAUUUUACGUCGGUCAUGAGAUACGGAGUUUCAAAAAUUGCGAUUCACAUUGGAACCAAAGGGGCUGACGCGUGGUUUGCCCCUGAUAUCUCGUAAAUACUACAAUUGAGUUAGGUACCUUUUGCCUCUACCGAUAUUGUGAACUUAACGUGGUUCAUAAUUUACAUUCAAGUAACAUCGCAGUUACUGGUGGGAUGUUUGACUUCCUCUCCGCUCCUCUCGAAUAAUAAAGAAAAAGAGAAAUAGAAUUCAUUUCUUCUUGAAUAGCUAAAUGAGAAACGGGGAAAAUACUGUUCGGGGCUCCUCUUAAAAAAAUAAGAAUUUGAAAUUAUAUCCGUCUUUCCUUUCUCCUCUUUUAUUACAGUUAGCGAUCUUUUGGUCUCUUUUGACCCUACCCUCAAAAUUAUAAGGUUGUUUUUACUAUAGAUGUUUGGUCUAAUUUUAGUCCCUCUGGAUCCUCGGUGGAGUUUUACAAAUGUUUUCAAAUGAAAACAGCAGACAUAACUUUAUUGGACAUCAUUUUCCCCCGUCAGUCAUUAAUUACUACGAAAGUUUUAUUCGUUUAUAGUCUAUUUUCCUUUGAGACAUGCGUGGAGCAUCCUUUUUUUCUCCUGUAUUUACCUAUUUUUCUUUUUUUGUAACGGUCUCAUGCUCAUGCAUCAAAGUCAAACUUUGAUUCAUAGAUGACAAUGAGUAGUAGAAAGUCAGGGGUCAAAUUAUGAAAAUGUGCAAUAUCUUUCAAGAAAAAACUCCGUAGUGCAUAUCGUCUAAGCUUUUUGAUUACUAUAAGCGAGUCUGUUUUUCCCCAUUAAUUGUUUUUACAUUUUAUUGUGUUAGAUCUCGAAUAUUACAAUUGGUAUGUUAACACUCAAUGGUUUGAAUUUAUCUAAAAGUGUAAAAGAUAAAAAACUUUGCAGUUUCAUCCAUGGAUUUGGCCAUGCAUUUUCGCAUUAUGUAGCAUUGAAUAUAAUCGUGAAUUUUCAUAAGUUAUUUUUCUUUUAGUCCUGAAUUAUUUUUUUUAUCAUUGCUGUAUUUUUAAAAUAGGGAAACUUUUUUGAAUGAUCUUUUGUGAAUUAAAAGAAGUGGAAAGUAGUGAAAGUUGUCAAUGUCAUUUUUUAUCUUUUUAUCGACGGUGAAACUACCAAACCACGUAUCUCGUUUGCGAUGAUUAAAAAUCUCCGCUCCCAUUUUAUUUAUCUGUCUUUUUUUUUUUUUUGACGAGGAACAAAUCAUCAUCUUUUUUUGAAAUUUUCACGGAGUUUACUUCGCACAUCGAAGAAAAUACACCGAAGUUUUCAAGAAUCGACUUAGAGUAGUUUUCCAUUUAAAAAAUAAAGUUUUACGCAGGAAGUCUACAACGUCGCAAACCGAGGUACGUGGUCUGGUAGUUUCAUCGUCGAUAUAUUUUCCAAAAGCCCUCGAUAGAAAAAAGUUUAUUCAUGCAAAAAAAAAAAUUGUUUCUUUUGCAUGAGAGGUUAACUGCCUCUUAAACUUAUCGACGGUGAAACUACCAAACCACGUAUCUCGUUUGCGGGGUUUCAAAAUCUACGCUCGCAUUUUAUUUUUUUGAAGUAGACCAAAUCAAUAUCAUUCCUUGAAAUUCUCACAGAAUUUUCCCCGUACGAAGAGGAAAUAUCACAGAAAUUUUCAAGACUGGACGUUGAGUAGUUUUUCAUUUAAAAAAUAAAGUAUGACAGGAAGUCUGCAACGUCGCAAACCGAGAUACGUGGUUUGGUAGUUUCACCGUCGUUAUGGAAGUAGGUAUAGACCGUUUUUCAACUCAUUUAAAUCUUAGAGCACGAGGUACCUAUAAUGCUUGCUACUUAUUUAACUUUCCCAUUUGUGGAGUCCGGCCGUGCAUUUUGUGUGCACCGCCGAGCCGCAUUUCAUGAAAGUAGUGCUUAUCUUGUCCACGCGUGUAUGUAUUACAGGCACGGCUAAUUGAGGUAUAAGUAAGGCGUUGAGUUAUGUCUUAUCAAUCACAGAAUAUUUCGCUUGACCAUUAGGUAAUUAUUAUGCAUUAUUCCACGCUGGUUCCUGUGGAUAUCCGAGGUGUGACUUCACGGAGGGAAAAAUGUGUGUUAUUUUUUGUCCCGUCCACUGUUCGUUCCGUCCGAUUGAUAGCAACAUAUUAAUGUUCAUUUCCGGUAAGUAUCUUUCAUUUUAACUUAGCUGAGGAUCCUAGUAAUCAAUGAAGGCUGAGGGGUGAAUAAAAAACCAAGAUUUUCUCUCCUUUGUAUUCUAAAAAGUAAAAAUAGGAAUUCAAAAGGUAAACUUAUAGAAAAAUAAAAGGUAAAAAAAACCAAAACACGCACCCAAACAAACCAUCGGGCAGUAGGUGACGUACUUAUCAUAUGAGACUUGAGAAAUUCCCCUCCAGUCUCAAAUGCAACUAUCCAUACAGACUGCACUGGCCUUGCUGGAAUGAUUGCUUCUUUCAGUGUAUUUUAUUUAUGAAUUUCAAAGAUUUAAAUUGAAAAAAAAGAAGAAAAAAAAUUGUUUAAUUUAUCUUCUUUAGAGGAUCACUAGAAAGGCCAUCAUAUUCUCAUUCACGAAGAAUGUGGCUGACAUUUUUUUCUUUUUUUUUUCUUUUUUCUUUUUUUUAAAAUUAAUUUCAAAAUACGACUCGCAAGUGAGGUAUCAUUGUUGUCUACACUUUGUGAAUGUAAACCCUCUUCUUACCAUAAUGCCAAUAUUUGUAUGAUGUUACAAAAUUCCAU
Molecule: long non-coding RNA, 4802 nt
Filed under: Bemisia tabaci
Lineage: Eukaryota; Metazoa; Arthropoda; Insecta; Hemiptera; Aleyrodidae
Description: lncRNA ENSSSA1UGG003667
Source: RNAcentral